AACGCGAAGAACCUUACCGGGGCUUGACAUCGGAGGACAACUCUAGAAAUAGAGCUUAGGGGCAACCCUACUUCCAGACAGGUGCUGCAUGGCUGUCGUCAGCUCGUGCCGUGAGGUGUUGGGUUAAGUCCCGCAACGAGCGCAACCCUUGUCCUUAGUUGCCAUCAUUAAGUUGGGAACUCUAAGGAGACCGCCGGUGACAAACCGGAGGAAGGUGGGGAUGACGUCAAGUCAUCAUGGCCUUUAUGGCCAGGGCUACACACGUGCUACAAUGGCAGGUACAGAGGGAAGCCAACGCGCGAGCGGGAGCCAAUCCCAGAAAGCCUGUCGUAGUCCGGAUCAGAGUCUGCAACUCGACUCCGUGAAGUCGGAAUCGCUAGUAAUCGCAGAUCAGCAUUGCUGCGGUGAAUACGUUCCCGGGCCUUGUACACACCGCUAGUC
This 441-nucleotide ribosomal RNA is filed under the name uncultured bacterium. Its description in RNAcentral is "bacterial SSU rRNA". It matches the Rfam family "Bacterial small subunit ribosomal RNA", at positions 958 to 1398 of the family's 1533-position model. The record is from RNAcentral.